This is an unclassified non-coding RNA of Stylophora pistillata, 5108 nucleotides long. The record is from RefSeq and is a predicted model, not a curated record. Lineage: Eukaryota; Metazoa; Cnidaria; Anthozoa; Scleractinia; Pocilloporidae.
GAUAUCAAUAUUUCAAUCUCGCUAAUAGCAGGCCGCUUAAGCCAUCGUUCUGGAGGAAGGAUUGAACCUUUUAUGGCAAAAUAACUAUUCUGAGCGACACAAGAUAUAGUCCUAGGCCCAAUGGCUUCCUCGGUGUCCACAGAUGAGACAACUAACUAUGCACGACUGUGCCGUCUUCUGGUGGAUAAGGGAUCUAAAGCAUUAAGAGAUACUUUUGAUGGCAUUCACCCCCCUGCAGACCUCCACAAAGUGUUAACGCAGCCUCCGCAUAAUGCAACUUUAAAUACUCUCAAGACGAAAAAGAUUAUCAAUUCUUCACAAUGGGGAGAUCUAUUUCCAGCGGUCCAAUCAUCUGUUUCAUCAAAAAGAUUUGAUGUGACGCUAUUAAUGGUUCUGCUAAGAAAUAUUUGUAGGCUGGCACAGCCGGCCACUGGCUGGGACAAUCUUCCUCCUGAUUCAGACAAGAGUAAAGAAGCUAAUAUAGCCCGAAUAAAGUACUAUCGUAAUACUGUUUAUGGCCAUGCCAGCCAAGCGUCCGUCGAUUAUGCUACAUUUAACAGCUGCUGGACAGCUAUCAGCAAUGCAAUAACAGGACUGGUGGGGGAAAAAUACGAAGCUGAUAUGGAAAACCUUCGGGUUGGGUCCAUGGAUCCUGUUUCAGAGGAACACUAUAAAAAACUGUUAAGGGAGUGGAAGAAAGACGAAGACAGCGUCAAAGAAAGGCUUGAGGAGAUAGACGAAAACGUGAGAAAAGGCCUGGAGCAGAUAAAAGGUGACAUGGGAAAGGAACUAGAGCAAAUAAAAGGUGACAUGGGAAAAGGACUAGAGCAGAUAAAAGGUGACAUGGGAAAUAUUGGAGAGAAGUUGGAAAAUUUCAUGUACCGAACAGAAGAAAUGGAAGAUGAAGAACCAAGAGCAGGCAACAACGUCAACAACUUUGACGUCCAAGUCUAUGUUAGCCUUCCUAUUACUACAGCAAUGCCUCCAAACCCAGGUCUACAGCCACGGAAAGAUUUAGAAUUUUUCGGACACGAUUAUCCAGGUCAGGUGAUACACCAAGUUCAAAAUUUACCUGGUUCACCUCGUUUGUCCCUUUCAAGUCAAAAUGAAGAUAAUACCCGGCAACAUGAAAAUCAACGUUGCGAGAACAAGGACUCGCCGCCAGUUAACGGCACCUCGGCAAGCACAGAUGUAGAAUCUCCGGGAUACGAUUAUCCAAGUCUGGUCGCGGUAACACAACCACCUCAACAUCGUCCACCUCUUCCAUCCCUUCCGAUUGAAAAUGAAGAAGAUACUUAUUACCUAAGUCUAAAAUGGCAGAACGAGGACCCGUUACCGGGUAAUGGCAUUUUCGUUAGCACAGGAGACUCAGAUGAAGCUAACUCAUUCCUUGAGAAUGUCGAACAGGCCAUCAAGGAGUUCGACAGCAUGAAUGGGACAACGAAGGAUGAAAGGGAGCAGUGUAUUCUUCAACUCGUCUUACCAAAUCUGGAAGAGAAAUGGAAAAAGUCAAGCACAAAUAGAAGGAAAAUUUACAUUGAUUUGGUACAGAUUGGCUGCAGCAGAACCAGCCCUAACACUGUGAGGCAUAGUCUCCGACAGUUGCUCCGUUUGAUGCUAUUGGACAACCUUGAAAGUGGAGACUACAACUUGCUUGGUCUAGAGAGCAUUAUAAGAUUGUCGAUAAGCUCCCCUGAUGCAGUUUUUAAGGAAGAAGGACAUCAAGAGAGACUACUCAGACUGUCUGUGUACAGUCAGACUCUUGCGUUGUUGAUUAUUCAGAAGUGUCAGAAAUGGCUCUCCUCUGAUGAUAUUACGCGUGAAUUGUUACAGUUACGGGGACAUUUGGGAAAAUCUUACAACCAGACGAAGGAUCUUUUUCACUACUCAAUGGAAUUCAUCACGCAAGCCAUUAGAUUUUUAGCACAAAAAAGGAAAAAAUUUGAGAAAUCCGAUGUAAUGGCUUUCCUUAAAGAAUGUAAAGAAUCGUUUGAUCCGCAUUAUGCAGGAAACGGAGAGUUAACAUUCAUACAGAUAUUGAAGAGCCCCAAGAGUAAUAAAAGAAAAUGGUUUGCUUUGCAUUGUGUCAUAUGGUAUCUUUAUUUUAAGACUUACAAUGAGGACACUAAUCAUCGAUUGCAGACAGACAGACAAUCAGUGCUUUUAUUACGGAGUGUGAUUGAAGCUUACAGCGUAGGAGAUGGCAAAAAGAGGUCUGGAAAUGACUGGAAGUUUUUUGUGCUGGCAGGCUCAGUUUUGUCGGACAUCACGAUGAACAACAUAAACAGGGAAAACAGAAUAGAUGCUUGUACCUGUUUGCUGAACUUGGUGAAAAAGGGAGUUUGGAGAGGGAUCCUUGAACCUCUGUCGCGACAGGUGUUGCUUAGCCCAGACAGUUACGUUCGUUCGUUAAUGGCAGAUGCGCUGUGCACUGAAGACAAUUCGUGUUGUGCUAUAACUGAGGGGCAUCACAUCGACCACCUUGUGACGAAAUUUCCAGCACUUGAGGUUAACAACGAAAUCAUCAGUCGAAGUGAUCGAUGUUUUGUAAUAAAGGCAGUAUUCAGUGGAAGAGAAGCUGUCCUGAAAGUGAUGUACGUCACAAACCAGAACGUUAGGGGGAGGAUGCCGUCAGAUUGCCAACAAGCAAAUCUGCGCUUCAUCCGAGAAGCUUAUUUUCUAAGUCGCAUCCAACGGCAUCCAAAUUUCCCUAUUCUUCUCAGUUACAACACGGAGACGUUGCCGUAUCAUCUCAUCACUGAAUACGAAAGUCAAGGAAACCUCUUGCAGCUACUUCAAAGGGCGCAUGAUCAACACUCCCGGUUGGAAGAAAAUUUGCUUCUGCAAAUGCUCAUUAACAUAGCUGAUGCACUUCGAUACUUGGAAAAACUGCACUUGGUGCACCGUUCUGUUAUGGCAAAGAAUGUUCUCGUAGGGGAUGACAACGUUUGCAGACUUAGUGGCCUCCAUUCCUUACGACCAACAGACUGGGGUCCAUUAACUGAAGCUGAAGAUGUCAACGAUGACCUCCCAUUGAAGUGGAAAGCUCCUGAGUGCUUACUGGAACAUCAUUACUCUACAGCGUCUGACGUGUGGGCGUUCGGGGUCGUUAUGUACGAAGUACUAACCCUUGGUUAUUCUCCAUUUGGAAAUUUAAGCGAUAAAGAUGUCUACAAUUAUGUUACGAUGGGAGGAACACCGCCUCUUGGAGCGUAUUUCGAAGAUAACGAAAACAACCUCAUGAAACAGUGCUGGGAAAGGAAAAGAAGCGAGAGAAUCAGCUUUCCAAAGCUAUCCAGCAGACUCAAGAAGAUGAAUGCAGAGCUGAAAACAGCAGGUGUUGCAAGAAGGAAGUCAAGGCCUGAUCUGCAACCAUCCCUGGCAAAUCCAAAAGUAACCGCGGAAAGGGAAGACGAUGCCUCGUAUACGAUGAGAAAGGAAAGUUCACGUGUUGUGGAGAAGAUCACGGCUAAAGAUAUACUUUACCAUGAACCGUUGAAAAAGCUCAGCCAUCCAAACAUCUCCAUUUCCCUAUUUUGGACGAAGAGCUCUCCAGAAAUUGAAAUAAUUUCUAUGAGAUGCGAUCUCGGGAACCUUAAAGAUUACGUGAUCAGCGGAAGAAAAGGAGGCUCUUGCGAGAGAGGCGACUUAUUUAUAUUCCUAUCCCAGGUAGCAUCUGCGCUCAAUUAUCUCCAUACUGAGCAUAUUGUUCAUGGAAACCUCCGCGCCGAGCACGUAAAUGUUGUGAGUUCUAAACAGGUUCAGAUUACCCAUCUUGGCCGAUCCAAGCGUUUGUCAACAAGACCAGAUGAGGAAACCAGCAAGGGUUGCUGGGAAAAGGCAUACAUGCCACCUGAUUCUACUCGCUGGAGCGCGCCAGAGGUGAUAUCUCAGGGACAGUACAGUCACGCUAGUGAUGUGUGGUCAUUCGGUGUCCUAGCAUGGGAAAUAUUUGCAGCGUUUCAUGAUAGCAACAUGAUGCCACGACAAACGAGACCUUACUAUAACCAUACAAAUGACGAGAUUUUGCAGAGUAUCAAAAAAAACGAGCAACUAGCAAAACCACUUUCCUGUCCAGACUGGGUAUAUCUCCUGAUUCAAGAAUGUUGCUCAUAUAUAGCCGAGGAAAGGCCACCCGCAAUUGCUCUCUUUGACUGUCUGACAUGCAGAAUGCCAAUGAAAUCUUGGUUGAUGGAAGUUUGUUCAAACAGCCACACGAAAAGGGAGUUGCAUGAAGUGUGCCAGCCAGAGGAUGCGUGUCACUUGUUACAGGAAAAAGAUCGUCCUCGAAAAGAGGACAUCGAGAAGAUGUGCUUAAAGGGUUUCUUCACAAAAUAUGAAACCCAAUGCAUUUACAGUGAAGAAGAAGGAUACGAAGACAUAAGCCAAUUUCAAGAACUAGGUUGUAAUUUUAAAUUUUCAUUUUCAAUGCGACUCUCCGGGACAUAUUUACACCAUUUUACUUAUUUUAAAGGCACCUUUUCCUGCCAUGUCCUGGUGCACCUCCCUCACUGGGUUGUCAUGCCACCUCUCAUAUUCUAUUUGGACCAAUUCGGAGAUUCUACUCACAAUAUGGCUGACUGGUUCAUUUUCCUGGUGACAUAUUCCAUCUUGGUAUUCUUUUGGGUCUUUUCGAUAUUUAUUUUUAAUGCCUCGUUUUAAGCAGAACUGAUAAUUUGGGAUUCCGCUCAACCAUCAUCGGGUAUUCACAAUGCUCUCAUUCCCCUCUGGUCGUAUAACUUCCCUUCUUUCGCUCUACUCUAAUUUCAGCUCUCAUUCGUUCUUUAAUUCCAGCCUUUGUUGUAUACGGAGUUAUAUACGGAGUUUCCUUUGUCUCGUUUUAAUUAGCUACCUAGAGCAACUUCUCGUCACUACGUCGAAUGCAACUCCGCAGUGAAAUCGUAAUAUUCAUUUUAUCAUGGAAAGGCCUCUGCCUACUACAAGGUAGCUGUUUCUUAUUCAUUUUAUGCUGAUCUCUACCGAUUGGUUUAACUCUUAUUCUCCUGCAGGUUCGUUCGCUAACGGAGACAUACACGCAUCUAAAAACGUAGGGCAAUGGCCUCUACCUCCACGUCCAUCUCCACCAACAUUGGUUAGAGAAACGAUCA